RNAcentral lists this ribosomal RNA (538 nucleotides) under uncultured bacterium. RNAcentral's name for it is "bacterial SSU rRNA". It matches the Rfam family "Bacterial small subunit ribosomal RNA", at positions 114 to 648 of the family's 1533-position model. The record is from RNAcentral.
CACGUAUCCAACCUGCCGUCUACUCUUGGCCAGCCUUCUGAAAGGAAGAUUAAUCCAGGAUGGGAUCAUGAGUUCACAUGUCCGCAUGAUUAAAGGUAUUUUCCGGUAGACGAUGGGGAUGCGUUCCAUUAGAUAGUAGGCGGGGUAACGGCCCACCUAGUCAACGAUGGAUAGGGGUUCUGAGAGGAAGGUCCCCCACAUUGGAACUGAGACACGGUCCAAACUCCUACGGGAGGCAGCAGUGAGGAAUAUUGGUCAAUGGGCGAUGGCCUGAACCAGCCAAGUAGCGUGAAGGAUGACUGCCCUAUGGGUUGUAAACUUCUUUUAUAAAGGAAUAAAGUCGGGUAUGCAUACCCGUUUGCAUGUACUUUAUGAAUAAGGAUCGGCUAACUCCGUGCCAGCAGCCGCGGUAAUACGGAGGAUCCGAGCGUUAUCCGGAUUUAUUGGGUUUAAAGGGAGCGUAGAUGGAUGUUUAAGUCAGUUGUGAAAGUUUGCGGCUCAACCGUAAAAUUGCAGUUGAUACUGGAUGUCUUGAGUG